AGAGUUUGAUCAUGGCUCAGAAUGAACGCUGGCGGCGUGCUUAACACAUGCAAGUCGCACGAGAAAUCUUUAGCUUGCUAAAGAGAGUAAAGUGGCGCACGGGUGAGUAACGCGUGGAUAAUCUACCCGUGAAUCGGGGAUAACAUUGCGAAAGCGAUGCUAAUACCGGAUAAUAUUCUUAUGACUUCGGUUUUUGGAUCAAAGGUGGCCUCUACAUGUAAGCUACUGUUUGGGGAUGAGUCCGCGUACCAUUAGCUUGUUGGUGGGGUAACGGCCUACCAAGGCAACGAUGGUUAGCUGGUCUGAGAGGAUGAUCAGCCACACUGGAACUGACACACGGUCCAGACUCCUACGGGAGGCAGCAGUGGGGAAUUUUGCGCGAUGGGGGAAACCCUGACGCAGCAACGCCGCGUGAGUGAUGAAGGCUUUCGGGUCGUAAAGCUCUGUCAAGUGGGAAGAAAUUAUUAAAUGCCAAUACCAUUUAAUAUUGACGGUACCAUUGAAGGAAGCACCGGCUAACUCCGUGCCAGCAGCCGCGGUAAUACGGGGGGUGCAAGCGUUAUUCGGAAUUAUUGGGCGUAAAGAGCGCGUAGGCGGUUUUUCAAGUCAGAUGUGAAAGCCCGGGGCUUAACCCUGGAAGUGCAUUUGAAACUGGGAAACUUGAGUAUGGGAGAGGGAAGUGGAAUUCCUGGUGUAGAGGUGAAAUUCGUAGAUAUCAGGAGGAACACCGGUGGCGAAGGCGACUUCCUGGACCAAUACUGACGCUGAGGCGCGAAGGCGUGGGUAGCAAACAGGAUUAGAUACCCUGGUAGUCCACGCAGUAAACGUUGAUCACUAGGUGUAGCGGGUAUUGACCCCUGCUGUGCCGGAGUUAACGCAUUAAGUGAUCCGCCUGGGGAGUACGGUCGCAAGAUUAAAACUCAAAUGAAUUGACGG
RNAcentral lists this ribosomal RNA (936 nucleotides) under uncultured bacterium. RNAcentral describes it as "bacterial SSU rRNA". It matches the Rfam family "Bacterial small subunit ribosomal RNA", at positions 8 to 916 of the family's 1533-position model. The record is from RNAcentral.